Molecule: ribosomal RNA, 1672 nt
Filed under: Staphylococcus aureus
Lineage: Bacteria; Bacillati; Bacillota; Bacilli; Caryophanales; Staphylococcaceae
Description: partial 23S ribosomal RNA
Rfam family: Bacterial large subunit ribosomal RNA
Source: RNAcentral
AGCAUGAUCGUAAGGACAUGUGGAGCGCUUAGAAGUGAGAAUGCCGGUGUGAGUAGCGAAAGACGGGUGAGAAUCCCGUCCACCGAUUGACUAAGGUUUCCAGAGGAAGGCUCGUCCGCUCUGGGUUAGUCGGGUCCUAAGCUGAGGCCGACAGGCGUAGGCGAUGGAUAACAGGUUGAUAUUCCUGUACCACCUAUAAUCGUUUUAAUCGAUGGGGGGACGCAGUAGGAUAGGCGAAGCGUGCGAUUGGAUUGCACGUCUAAGCAGUAAGGCUGAGUAUUAGGCAAAUCCGGUACUCGUUAAGGCUGAGCUGUGAUGGGGAGAAGACAUUGUGUCUUCGAGUCGUUGAUUUCACACUGCCGAGAAAAGCCUCUAGAUAGAAAAUAGGUGCCCGUACCGCAAACCGACACAGGUAGUCAAGAUGAGAAUUCUAAGGUGAGCGAGCGAACUCUCGUUAAGGAACUCGGCAAAAUGACCCCGUAACUUCGGGAGAAGGGGUGCUCUUUAGGGUUAACGCCCAGAAGAGCCGCAGUGAAUAGGCCCAAGCGACUGUUUAUCAAAAACACAGGUCUCUGCUAAACCGUAAGGUGAUGUAUAGGGGCUGACGCCUGCCCGGUGCUGGAAGGUUAAGAGGAGUGGUUAGCUUCUGCGAAGCUACGAAUCGAAGCCCCAGUAAACGGCGGCCGUAACUAUAACGGUCCUAAGGUAGCGAAAUUCCUUGUCGGGUAAGUUCCGACCCGCACGAAAGGCGUAACGAUUUGGGCACUGUCUCAACGAGAGACUCGGUGAAAUCAUAGUACCUGUGAAGAUGCAGGUUACCCGCGACAGGACGGAAAGACCCCGUGGAGCUUUACUGUAGCCUGAUAUUGAAAUUCGGCACAGCUUGUACAGGAUAGGUAGGAGCCUUUGAAACGUGAGCGCUAGCUUACGUGGAGGCGCUGGUGGGAUACUACCCUAGCUGUGUUGGCUUUCUAACCCGCACCACUUAUCGUGGUGGGAGACAGUGUCAGGCGGGCAGUUUGACUGGGGCGGUCGCCUCCUAAAAGGUAACGGAGGCGCUCAAAGGUUCCCUCAGAAUGGUUGGAAAUCAUUCAUAGAGUGUAAAGGCAUAAGGGAGCUUGACUGCGAGACCUACAAGUCGAGCAGGGUCGAAAGACGGACUUAGUGAUCCGGUGGUUCCGCAUGGAAGGGCCAUCGCUCAACGGAUAAAAGCUACCCCGGGGAUAACAGGCUUAUCUCCCCCAAGAGUUCACAUCGACGGGGAGGUUUGGCACCUCGAUGUCGGCUCAUCGCAUCCUGGGGCUGUAGUCGGUCCCAAGGGUUGGGCUGUUCGCCCAUUAAAGCGGUACGCGAGCUGGGUUCAGAACGUCGUGAGACAGUUCGGUCCCUAUCCGUCGUGGGCGUAGGAAAUUUGAGAGGAGCUGUCCUUAGUACGAGAGGACCGGGAUGGACAUACCUCUGGUGUACCAGUUGUCGUGCCAACGGCAUAGCUGGGUAGCUAUGUGUGGACGGGAUAAGUGCUGAAAGCAUCUAAGCAUGAAGCCCCCCUCAAGAUGAGAUUUCCCAACUUCGGUUAUAAGAUCCCUCAAAGAUGAUGAGGUUAAUAGGUUCGAGGUGGAAGCAUGGUGACAUGUGGAGCUGACGAAUACUAAUCGAUCGAAGACUUAAUCAA